GCCAGCAUGGUGUAGUGGUUUGAGCAUUGGACUAGGACUCUGGAGCCCAGGGUUCAAAUCCCUGCUUGGCC
This 71-nucleotide transfer RNA is filed under the name Phrynosoma platyrhinos (Desert horned lizard). Its description in RNAcentral is "tRNA-OTHER". The record is from RNAcentral. Lineage: Eukaryota; Metazoa; Chordata; Lepidosauria; Squamata; Phrynosomatidae.